GACGAACGCUGGCGGCGUGCUUAACACAUGUAAGUCGAACGGAAAGGCCCUGCUUUUGUGGGGUGCUCGAGUGGCGAACGGGUGAGUAACACGUGAGUAACCUGCCCUUGACUUUGGGAUAACUUCAGGAAACUGGGGCUAAUACCGGAUAGGAGCUCCUGCUGCAUGGUGGGGUUGGAAAGUUUCGGCGGUUGGGGAUGGACUCGCGGCUUAUCAGCUUGUUGGUGGGGUAGUGGCUUACCAAGGCUUUGACGGGUAGCCGGCCUGAGAGGGUGACCGGCCACAUUGGGACUGAGAUACGGCCCAGACUCCUACGGGAGGCAGCAGUGGGGAAUAUUGCACAAUGGGCGGAAGCCUGAUGCAGCAACGCCGCGUGCGGGAUGACGGCCUUCGGGUUGUAAACCGCUUUCGCCUGUGACGAAGCGUGAGUGACGGUAAUGGGUAAAGAAGCACCGGCUAACUACGUG
RNAcentral lists this ribosomal RNA (467 nucleotides) under uncultured bacterium. RNAcentral describes it as "partial 16S ribosomal RNA". It matches the Rfam family "Bacterial small subunit ribosomal RNA", at positions 28 to 507 of the family's 1533-position model. The record is from RNAcentral.